UUUGGCCUUCGAGGAAAUGAGCGAGGUGGUCAUCAAAUCGUGACCCUUAAGACCAGGACGAAUUCUUUUUUUCUGGUAUCUACCUCUAUCUUUACUCCCAAACUCCAGGAAAUCAAGAGGAAACAAGGUCAGAGUCAGCCCUGGGGCCAAGUCUGCCGCAAGCAGCUGAUGCUGGUUGAUCCUUCCCUGAAGGAGCUCCCACCAGCCUCUACACAGUGUUGCCUGUAACCAAACACUGGCAUUAGAGUUAGGGCCACGGGAUGGCUUGUAACCUUCUUAGGAUCUCAAAGCUAACACCAUUUGGCGUAGCAAUAAAAUCCUGAGGUCGGGCCUGGGGAGAAGCCCAUUGGCCUGGUACUUGAUCUCUGCUUAAGUGUUCCUUGUCCCUGUAUAGAGUCAUUUCUCAGAGCUGAGCAACACGGGACUGCCAAGCACCAGGGCCAUCAGAGGGCCCAAAUGAACGAUCCAAGUAAAACAGAGAACUCGCCAUGUCGGCACUGACAUUCCUGAGUUAGGAGAGAGUACAGCAGCUUUUCUCAGUUUUGGCUGAAAUAUGGGAAUUACCUGGGCAGCUUAAAAAAUAUCAAGGCCCAGGUCCCACCCCCAGAGAUUCUGACUAAAUUGGUUUUGAGUUGGGCCAGGUGACUCUAAUAUGCAGCCGUCGGCACUGAGAGCCACGUUAACACCUGGCUGGCCAACUGGCGUCUCUGUCGGGAUUGAAGCCCAUCCGCACGGCUUCUGGUGCACGCUCUGUCUUUGACGUCUGUUGUGUUGGUCCGAGGAGAAAGGACAGAGGAGAAUGCUGCUCUUGUUCUACACCUGCAGGAGGGAUGGGGACAAACUGGAGGCAUUCAGAGGAUCUCUCCCUUCCUCUAAACUCUGCACUGGCCAUCGGAGGCUGCCUCGACUUGGACCUUCUUGGACAGAAAUCUACAUCCUCACGAAACGCCGUGCCAUCCUGAAAGGCAAGAUGGGUGAAUUCUCCAUCCCGAUGAUGCAAAGUCAGUUUCCUCAGAAUAUCUGGUGCAGCUGGACCAUCCGGGCUGGCCCCCAAAGCCAUGCUGUUGUCUAUGUCAGUGUGUUUAAGGUCACAGGAAAUGAUGACUGUGGGCCAAACCCUGACAAGAUUGUGUUCCAGGGGGUCUCCCCUGUGGCAGAAAGCAGUAUGGUCCAUGCCUAUUGAAAGAAAAGGGUGCAUGUUUAUGCCACCCAAGCUCUGGCUGUGCACGUGGUCCUGCUAUCUCAGAACUAUGCUCGAGGUGGGAGAUACAGGCCUUUCAGGGGGAAGUGUUAUGUCUUCCGAGAUCCCAGAGCAGAUUCAGGAGAAAAGAUCAUGAAGCCCCAGGUUACACAGGCUCCCAUCUAAUUUCAAAGACCUUUCUCCAAACCCACUGCUAGCACCACUGGGCCAAAGACUCAAGCAGAGAAGAAACCUGGGGUCUCUGGAACGUCUAUGCCCCAUCUGGUUCAGCCAGGCUUCCUCGUGUUCCUCACCAAGCCUGCAGCAGAUGGCAUCCUGGCCACUAAAUCUGGAAAUAAGUGGGAAGGAUCUUUGAAAAAUAGCCUCUUCUCCAGCCCCAGGGGAACAGCAGUCUCUGAUCCCAGGUGGCCAGAGAUCCCAGAAGAAAGUAUCUUUGCCGGGCCCUCAGCCAGUGGAGAAGCCCCUUCCAGCGCCGUGAUUCCUGUAACAAGCUCUGUGGCAGCCGCUCACCGGCAGCUUGGUCCUCGCCUGUAGAAUGGGGAAGGCUGGAGGGCACUUCAGAGGAUGUGCCAGCCACGAGGCCCACCCCUGUGGACUCGCUGAGAUCAGCCCGCCGCUCAGAUUUGGGAUUAUGGGAAAGGACUGCACCCCAGGAAGGGGAGCUGCUUUCUCCCAGUCCUUCUCAGGUGGUGGAGAGCAUUCCUGGAGGAGGCCAGCAAACGCCCGUGCAGACAAGAGUCUUGCCUGGUGGAACACGAUGCUGCUAUGGGAUGAAGGGCAGGCCUGGCCACUGAGGCCCAGCUGUCCCUGGAGGGCAGGCCGUAUCCUUUCCCUGUCAUCACACAGCUUUCUCACAUCUCCAAGUCCUUUUUCCUUGUGUCCCAGGCUGAGAGCUCUCUUUGGGGAAUUCUUGCUGCUCCUGCGGACACCCUAACUUCUGCAUCAGGGUUUGCUUGGCUAAGCGCUGGGCUCACCUCCAGUGAGGCAGGGGUCACCUUGGUGGCUGCACCUCUGGGUGGUGAAGUGUUGUCACCACCUACUCUCUCCAUGGCCUUCAAGUGGCUCCCUCCGAGGCAGAGUCAUAGCUUGUCCCUUGGAUGGGCUUGUCCUCACCACUUCCAGAGCCAGGACAGACAGCCCGCCCCGGAGUGUGACCUCUGAGUGCGUCUCCUCGUGGUAUCAUGGGCAUCUUCCAGAAAGAGACCCAAUAUACACUUCCUGGAGUCCAGAGGGGCUGGCCACAGAGCCACUGGAGGGCCCGGCCAGAGUGAUGCUGACAACGGCCUCCCGCUGAGUUCCUCCGCCACCGCUGCCCCUGAGUACGCUCCCCAGCCCUCACUGGUAUUCCCGCCCUUGCCUACCACAGAGGUCCUGGGAUACCGGAGGGGGCCACAGGGACGUCUACACCAGCUUCAUGGCUGGUGUCAGGUUUACAGUUGCCUUCGGAUGCCCUGUCUGAGACUGGAGGGCAGGUCUCAGACAGCGAUACCUCCCUCUCAGCCCCCUAAGUCCAGCCAUGCCCCAGGGCUUGUCCAGUCAAGGAAAGAGCACAGUGGCUGCUGGCCUCUCUGCUGUGUUCCCUGGGAGCUGCAAUUCAAGCUUUCUGUGAUUAACGCUUUCCUUCUGCAGAGCUCACUGGUUUUUCCAGUUCCCUCUCCAAGUCUGGCCUGAGCAGAGAUGGCAUCUAGAAGUUUAGUGAGUGCUUCCCUGGCCUGAGCCCAAGGAAGCAGUUCCUACUGGGGCAAUGGCUUAUCCUCACUAUUUGAGGAGUGGGAACUUGCUUCCAACUACAUCCUAGAAGAGAGAGCACAGAAGUAACAGGACUGCUUAAAGGAAGAACACUAGAUGGUGCUCUGCGUCCUUUUGCUUCUGAGUUAAUUUCCUGGUUUUGUUGCAUGGCAAACUGCCCCAAAACUUAGUGGCUUAAAGAAACAGCCAUUGUUUCAUCUCUCUUUUGUGGGUCAGAAAUUUAGGCAGGUCUCAGCAGAGUGAUUCUCCCAUUCCACGUGGGAUUGACUGGAGUCUCUUGCUGGUAUUUAGCUGAAACUUGGGCUGGUCUGGAGGGUCCAGGAUGGCUUUGCUCAUAGGCGUUCAUAAUACGAAUGUUGGUGGGGACAGCUGGAAGGCUGGGCACUGUGUGUCCCUCUUUAUAUAGUUUUGAGAACUCUUUAGUCACAUUUCUACAAGGUGGCUGGAUUUCCCUGGAACAACUUUCCAAGAAACCAAGAUAGAAGUAUGUAUGGUCUUGACGUUGCCUCGGGUGUCAUGCAGUGUGACUUCUGCUGUGGCCUGUGGAUCAAGCCAGUUGCUGAAGCCAGUGCAGACUCAAGGGGAGAAGAGCAAGACUCUCCCUUUCAGUGGGUGGAGUAGCAGAGUUUUUAUGGCCACCUUUAAUUACUACUUUGUGCAUCUUGGACUUGUGGAUGCAUGUUUUUUAUCCGUUUGAGAAAACUUGCAGGCAUUUCUUCCUCAGGUAUUUCGUUGACUCAAUUUUCCACUCAUUUCUUCUGGGACUCCAAUUAUAGAGCUAAGACUUUCUUAUUCAAUCCUCCAAAUCUCUUAACUUCUCUCAUAGUUUCAUCUCAUUGUCUCUGUGCUGCAUUCAUGGGGGAUUUAUUUGGUUCAUGAAGGCUUUUUCUUCUUCUGACAUUUAUUAUAAAUAUUCAAACAUAUGACCAGGUUAAAAGACCUUUACAAUAAAUGUCCAUAUACCUACUACCUAUAUUCUACCCUUGACAUUUUAUUCAGUUUAUCAUAUCUGUCUAUCCACCUGUUCAUCUUAUUUUUUGAUAUCUGCAAUUUACUUGAAAUGUAUCAGUAGCCAUGGAGUUUUAUUUCCAUUCAUCAUUUCUAGACGUUCCCUUAUUUUCUAAUCUGCCCAUUUAUUCCUAAUAGUGUCUUUUUGCUUUGAUUAUGUUAUUUCUUUUACCAUUUUCCCGCACAACAAUGCUUAUCUGACAAUUCCAGCAAUUCUUAGGGUGUCAAUUGGCUUUUGUUGUCUUUUGCUAAAAGUACUUGAUCUUAAUCUAUGUUGCAUUAUCUAAUAUGGUAACUGCUAGCCACGUGUGGCUACCUAAAUUAAAGUUAA
Molecule: long non-coding RNA, 4289 nt
Organism: Balaenoptera musculus (blue whale)
Lineage: Eukaryota; Metazoa; Chordata; Mammalia; Artiodactyla; Balaenopteridae
Exons: 3
Source: RefSeq, a predicted model, not a curated record